Bactrocera neohumeralis is the source of this 528-nucleotide long non-coding RNA. RefSeq lists it as uncharacterized. The record is from RefSeq and is a predicted model, not a curated record. Lineage: Eukaryota; Metazoa; Arthropoda; Insecta; Diptera; Tephritidae. The transcript is spliced from 3 exons.
CUUUUAAACGAGUCUCCAUCAAAGUGCUAGGUAUAGUACAUAAUUUUAGAUUCAUAAUGCCCCAGCAAGCAUUUACAAUGAGGUUUCAAAAUAGCAGUUCCAUGUUUUUUUUAUUUCGUUUUCAUCAAAGUGCUAAUUGGAACUCGAGACGGACUCCCUAUUGUUGCUGUCAGCGCUGAAAGCCAGUCAACCUUGCGACAGUUUAAAGUGAUAAAAGUGCAGUGCUUCUAUCGAUAAAGUGACACAACUUCGCUUCGAAAAUGACAUGUUAACUUGAACUGGUCUCAAAUGAAUUUUACCAUGUGAUAUUUUGUAAACCAGCCGACGUGCACAGCGAAGUUGUGCGAUCGUCACGAACUCUACUCACAAACUGAUUACUCAAAGUGCAUGCAGUCGAUUAACUACUAAAAGUAAAUGCCAAAUAGCUGGUCGGAGUAGCUAGAGCGCGGCGGAGACCACGCAUAUAAAAUGCAUUAUUAAACAAAGUGGCGAGCUGAGUGUGGCAGUGAGCGUGCCCUGGGCAGUCAA